Passer domesticus (house sparrow) is the source of this 422-nucleotide long non-coding RNA. RefSeq lists it as uncharacterized. The record is from RefSeq and is a predicted model, not a curated record. Lineage: Eukaryota; Metazoa; Chordata; Aves; Passeriformes; Passeridae. The transcript is spliced from 3 exons.
GACAAUAUGGUUGUUACCUGCUCUGAGCACUGCUCCCCAUCUCAGCACAGGUUUCAGCAGAAUCCCUACUGCAAGACUGUGAGAAUCAUCUCCAAAUGCUUGGUGUGAAACCACUGGAGCACAGAGGUUUUCUACAGCCACUGAAGAGAGUCAGCUUCACAAGGCAACUCAGAGCCCCUAAGUAACCCUCUGUGUCCGAUCCCCUCUCUCGGAUAUGACUCUGAAAAGAACUCCAAUAGCAGUGGAAAGAGGCUUUCUCUUCAAUUAAUACAGAAAAAGCAAGAAAGUCAAGCAAAGAAAAGCCUUUGAAAAUGGACUACUUUGCCAACGAUCGAACCAGGAGGGAGGAGCAAGAGGAUACAUCAGUGAUGGAGGAGUUAUUAUCUAAGCAGGGUGUACAACAUAUAAAGCAUAUUGUGCAA